AUACUUGCCUGGCAGGGGAGAUACUGUGAUCACGAAGGUGGUUUUCCCAGGACAAGGCUUGUCCAUUGCACUCUAGAUGUGCUGACCCUUGUGAUUUCCCCAAAUUCAGGAAACUGGACUGCAUAAUUUGUGGUAGUGGGGGACUGCAUUCUUCCUCUCCUGAG
Small nuclear RNA from Apodemus sylvaticus (European woodmouse), 164 nucleotides. RefSeq annotates it as U1 spliceosomal RNA. The record is from RefSeq and is a predicted model, not a curated record. The transcript has a single exon. Lineage: Eukaryota; Metazoa; Chordata; Mammalia; Rodentia; Muridae.